AAGACUAUAGACCUGCGGAGUACCUGCGGAGGGAUCAUCAAUAGUUCCACUAUAAUACCUUCUUGUGAACUGUUUUUAUGGUACGGAUGUUCAUAUGGUGCUGCUGUUGCUUUAGUGACAACAGCGCCAUGUGGAUGUCUAUAUGUCAUCAUUACAAACUCUGUUAAAUAUAUAUAAAGUCUAAGCAGUUAAGCAUGUUGUCGUAUAUCGUAUUGAACCGUUAGUUUUAACGGUGAUUUA
RNAcentral lists this unclassified non-coding RNA (240 nucleotides) under soil metagenome. RNAcentral's name for it is "partial contains 5.8S ribosomal RNA, internal transcribed spacer 2, and large subunit ribosomal RNA". The record is from RNAcentral.